Molecule: non-coding RNA, 157 nt
Organism: Anas platyrhynchos (mallard)
Lineage: Eukaryota; Metazoa; Chordata; Aves; Anseriformes; Anatidae
Source: Rfam
GGCGCACGGGAGCGUAGGCCCUCGGGCCUGUGACGUACAGUCCCCUUCCACGACGUUGGAGAACAAGCCGGGCCUCGAGUCUGCAGCCUGCAUAUUCCUACUGCUUCUCUGAGCCCCCGGGCCGUUACAGAGGAGAUAAACCAUGCAGGAAACAAAU